ACCGGGAGAUAGCUGGUUCUCCCCGAAAGCUAUUUAGGUAGCGCCUCGUGAAUUCAUCUCCGGGGGUAGAGCACUGUUUCGGCAAGGGGGUCAUCCCGACUUACCAACCCGAUGCAAACUGCGAAUACCGGAGAAUGUUAUCACGGGAGACACACGGCGGGUGCUAACGUCCGUCGUGAAGAGGGAAACAACCCAGACCGCCAGCUAAGGUCCCAAAGUCAUGGUUAAGUGGGAAACGAUGUGGGAAGGCCCAGACAGCCAGGAUGUUGGCUUAGAAGCAGCCAUCAUUUAAAGAAAGCGUAAUAGCUCACUGGUCGAGUCGGCCUGCGCGGAAGAUGUAACGGGGCUAAACCAUGCACCGAAGCUGCGGCAGCGACACUGUGUGUUGUUGGGUAGGGGAGCGUUCUGUAAGCCUGUGAAGGUGUGCUGUGAGGCAUGCUGGAGGUAUCAGAAGUGCGAAUGCUGACAUAAGUAACGAUAAAGCGGGUGAAAAGCCCGCUCGCCGGAAGACCAAGGGUUCCUGUCCAACGUUAAUCGGGGCAGGGUGAGUCGACCCCUAAGGCGAGGCCGAAAGGCGUAGUCGAUGGGAAACAGGUUAAUAUUCCUGUACUUGGUGUUACUGCGAAGGGGGGACGGAGAAGGCUAUGUUGGCCGGGCGACGGUUGUCCCGGUUUAAGCGUGUAGGCUGGUUUUCCAGGCAAAUCCGGAAAAUCAAGGCUGAGGCGUGAUGACGAGGCACUACGGUGCUGAAGCAACAAAUGCCCUGCUUCCAGGAAAAGCCUCUAAGCAUCAGGUAACAUCAAAUCGUACCCCAAACCGACACAGGUGGUCAGGUAGAGAAUACCAAGGCGCUUGAGAGAACUCGGGUGAAGGAACUAGGCAAAAUGGUGCCGUAACUUCGGGAGAAGGCACGCUGAUAUGUAGGUGAAGUCCCUCGCGGAUGGAGCUGAAAUCAGUCGAAGAUACCAGCUGGCUGCAACUGUUUAUUAAAAACACAGCACUGUGCAAACACGAAAGUGGACGUAUACGGUGUGACGCCUGCCCGGUGCCGGAAGGUUAAUUGAUGGGGUCAGCGCAAGCGAAGCUCUUGAUCGAAGCCCCGGUAAACGGCGGCCGUAACUAUAACGGUCCUAAGGUAGCGAAAUUCCUUGUCGGGUAAGUUCCGACCUGCACGAAUGGCGUAAUGAUGGCCAGGCUGUCUCCACCCGAGACUCAGUGAAAUUGAACUCGCUGUGAAGAUGCAGUGUACCCGCGGCAAGACGGAAAGACCCCGUGAACCUUUACUAUAGCUUGACACUGAACAUUGAGCCUUGAUGUGUAGGAUAGGUGGGAGGCUUUGAAGUGUGGACGCCAGUCUGCAUGGAGCCGACCUUGAAAUACCACCCUUUAAUGUUUGAUGUUCUAACGUGGACCCGUGAUCCGGGUUGCGGACAGUGUCUGGUGGGUAGUUUGACUGGGGCGGUCUCCUCCUAAAGAGUAACGGAGGAGCACGAAGGUUGGCUAAUCCUGGUCGGACAUCAGGAGGUUAGUGCAAUGGCAUAAGCCAGCUUGACUGCGAGCGUGACGGCGCGAGCAGGUGCGAAAGCAGGUCAUAGUGAUCCGGUGGUUCUGAAUGGAAGGGCCAUCGCUCAACGGAUAAAAGGUACUCCGGGGAUAACAGGCUGAUACCGCCCAAGAGUUCAUAUCGACGGCGGUGUUUGGCACCUCGAUGUCGGCUCAUCACAUCCUGGGGCUGAAGUAGGUCCCAAGGGUAUGGCUGUUCGCCAUUUAAAGUGGUACGCGAGCUGGGUUUAGAACGUCGUGAGACAGUUCGGUCCCUAUCUGCCGUGGGCGCUGGAGAACUGAGGGGGGCUGCUCCUAGUACGAGAGGACCGGAGUGGACGCAUCACUGGUGUUCGGGUUGUCAUGCCAAUGGCACUGCCCGGUAGCUAAAUGCGGAAGAGAUAAGUGCUGAAAGCAUCUAAGCACGAAACUUGCCCCGAGAUGAGUUCUCCCUGACCCUUUAAGGGUCCUGAAGGAACGUU
This 2024-nucleotide ribosomal RNA is filed under the name Escherichia coli. Its description in RNAcentral is "partial 23S ribosomal RNA". It matches the Rfam family "Bacterial large subunit ribosomal RNA", at positions 837 to 2839 of the family's 2925-position model. Lineage: Bacteria; Pseudomonadati; Pseudomonadota; Gammaproteobacteria; Enterobacterales; Enterobacteriaceae. The record is from RNAcentral.